This 490-nucleotide ribosomal RNA is filed under the name uncultured soil bacterium. RNAcentral describes it as "bacterial SSU rRNA". It matches the Rfam family "Bacterial small subunit ribosomal RNA", at positions 26 to 524 of the family's 1533-position model. The record is from RNAcentral.
AGAUUGAACGCUGGCGGCAGGCCUAACACAUGCAAGUCGAGCGGCAGCACGGGUACUUGUACCUGGUGGCGAGCGGCGGACGGGUGAGUAAUGCCUAGGAAUCUGCCUGGUAGUGGGGGAUAACGCUCGGAAACGGACGCUAAUACCGCAUACGUCCUACGGGAGAAAGCAGGGGACCUUCGGGCCUUGCGCUAUCAGAUGAGCCUAGGUCGGAUUAGCUAGUUGGCGGGUAAUGGCUCACCAAGGCGACGAUCCGUAACUGGUCUGAGAGGAUGAUCAGUCACACUGGGACUGAGACACGGCCCAGACUCCUACGGGAGGCAGCAGUGGGAAUUUUGGACAAUGGGCGAAAGCCUGAUCCAGCCAUGCCGCGUGUGUGAAGAAGGCCUUCGGUUGUAAAGCACUUUGUCCGAAAGAAAGCUUCGGUUAAUACCGGAAGUUCUGACGUACGAAGAAUAAGCACGCUAACUCGUGCCAGCAGCCGCGUAAU